UACAAGACAAUCAUGGAUAUUCAUGGAUGUAGGGUCCUGUCCUACUAGCUGAUCCCUUUAAGGUGGGGGCAAACUCUCUAUACCUGACAGACAGAACAAGGUGGAAGAAACAGUUUGUAUGUAUUCAGGAAUGGAGAAGGAGCCUGUCAGGGCUCAAAGGGAGGCCUGCAAAGACAGGUGCCCUGUCUCCAGGGCUUGGGGGAAGCUGGAGGAAACAGCUCGUGAGGCUACAAGAGACUGGCCGGUUGCUGGGACAGAGUCUUUCCAAUGCCCUCAUGGAUAUAGAGGCAAAUGCUCCGAAACUGGAGGAUCGGUCGAGUUAGAUGGAUCUGACAUUCACAGCUUGUUAAUCACCAGAACCCCAGUUGCAGUCUUCUAG
This 379-nucleotide long non-coding RNA is filed under the name Apteryx owenii (little spotted kiwi). Its description in RNAcentral is "lncRNA (ENSAOWG00000007928.1)". The record is from RNAcentral. Lineage: Eukaryota; Metazoa; Chordata; Aves; Apterygiformes; Apterygidae.